RNAcentral lists this ribosomal RNA (2109 nucleotides) under Triticum aestivum (bread wheat). Its description in RNAcentral is "partial small subunit ribosomal RNA". Lineage: Eukaryota; Viridiplantae; Streptophyta; Magnoliopsida; Poales; Poaceae. The record is from RNAcentral.
AUGUUCGAGUAUCUAAAUGUUGUCAGCAAGAUGUUUGAUAGUGAGGCUGAAGGCUAUGAAUUCUACAACAAAUAUGCUCUUGAAAAAGGUUUUAGUGUGAGGAGAAGCUACGUUGAGUGGGAUGGAUCCAACAAAUACAUAAUUUUAAGGAAAAUUGUGUGUAGUCGUCAAGGGUUUCGCGAAGAGAAGCACAUGAAAAGAAAGAUGGAAGAUAGAAAAAGGAGGCCACGAAGUUUAACUCGUGUUGGGUGUAAUGCUAAAUUGGUCAUUACGAGACAGGAGGAAACCGGUCGGUGGUUUGUCAAGAAUUUCAUCGAUGAGCACAGCCAUCCUCUAGCCCCACGGGAUCUUUCUUGUCUGCUGCGUUCGCACAGACGAAUUAGCGAUGAGAAGAAAGCGGACAUUGCGGACAUGGAAAAAUGUGGGAUCCGCAAAUACCAUAUUAUGGAUAUUUUGUGCUUUCAAUACGGUGGAUUUGAUAAGGUUGGAUGCAUAAAGAGGGACAUUUAUAAUUUCUGCCAUGCUAAUAAGCAGGAGACAAUCAGUGCCGGUGAUGCUAAUACGGUGAUCAUGCACAUGAUGGCGAGGCGAGAGCGAGAUGUGGAUUUUUUCUUCAAAUACUUGGUAGACGAGCAUGGCCAUCUGAAGGGACUGUUCUGGGCUGAUAGUCAAUCGCGACUUGACUACGAGGCUUUCGGAGACGUCAUUGUUUUCAAUAGCACAUACAGAACCAACAAAUACAAUCUGCCAUUCGUGCCGUUUUUCGGGUUGAAUCACCACCGCAGCACUGUUAUUUUUGGCUGUGGUAUAAUUUCUCAUGAAACAAGCCAGGCAUACGAGUGGAUGUUGCGGACCUUUUCUGAUUGCAUGGCACAGAAGCAUCCGAUAUCUGUGAUCACAGAUGGGGACCUUGCAAUGCAGAGAGCAAUCAGGGUGGUCUGGCCAGACUCAAACCAUAGACUAUGUAUAUGGCACAUUCAGCAGAACAUUGUACGCCAUCUGCAUGAUGACGACGUAAAGGAGGAAUUCAGAUCUUUCAUUUAUGAUACUUCUUCUAUUGAAGAGCAUGAGAUAAAAUGGAUACAAUUCUUACAAUGGAAUAAAGUAACCAGUGAGGAGUCUUGGCUGCAUCAGAUGUAUCAGAUGAGAAAGUUGUGGUGUGCUCCAUAUCUUGAGGGGCGUUGUUUCCUAGGAUUGAGCAGCAAUCAGAGGAGUGAGAGCUUGAACUCUGUGCUACAUACGCAUCUUGAGGGUAAGAUGUCAUUGUUUGAAAUGCUAGAGCACUAUGAGCGUUGCCUUGCGUCGCGACGGAUUAACGAAGCUCUCCAAGACGUCGAAGCCUUGCAGUCCGUUCCAUUUACAGAGGAAAAUGCUUCGCCGCUUGAGAAACACGCCGCAACAGUUUUCACACCUAGUGUCUUUAAGAUGGUCUUAUGGAGCAUAGAUGCUGUCAGCAAAUGUCAGAUCAGAGAGAUACUAGAUGGAUCAGAAGAUUCCACUUAUGUUGUGUCCAAGCAGGAAAGAAUGGAUAAAAAGUUUGGAGUGCGCAUUGAAGAGCAAGGAGGUCUUUUGCACAGGGUGAGUUGUUCUUGCCGUAAGCUGGAAUGCGCAGGCACACCAUGUUCCCACAUUUUUUACAUAUUGGGGAUUUUAAAACAAACAAUUCUGCCCAGUUGUUGCGUUCCCACUAGGUGGACUAUGAAUGCAAAAUGUGCAUACGCACCUACCAGAAAAAACCAGAUGUAUGACUAUUCGGUAAGCCUGCAGAGGUACCGCGAGUUGCGGAAUUGUAGUCACGCCGCAAGUUUCAAGGCAUGCCACUCUGAUGAGGACUAUCACCGUCUAAAGAUGCUUUUGGAAGCACAACAUCAUGGCAAUCAAUCAAGUUUUGAACAAGCUGACAGCAAGGAGUCAACUAAUGCUCAGCAUAACAGCAUUAGGUUUGGCCCGUUGAUGCCGCACUCGGAGAAAGUUGAUAAGGUUCUGGAUCCCGUGCAUGUGCCAGGCCGAGGUGCACCGAAGAAAAGGCUGCGGGCAAAGACAAAGAAGUCAAGAUCACAGAAUAUGUGUGGCUAUUGCAAGAAUCCUGGUCACAGUCGACGUAAAUGC